AGAGUUUGAUUCUGGCUCAGGAUGAACGCUGGCGGCGUGCCUAACACAUGCAAGUCGAACGGAGUAAUUAAGCGGAAGUUUCGGAUGGAAGCAUAGUACUUAGUGGCGGACGGGUGAGUAACGCGUGGGCAACCUGCCCUGUACCGGGGGAUAACACUUAGAAAUAGGUGCUAAUACCGCAUAAGCGCACAGCUUCGCAUGAAGGUGUGUGAAAAACUCCGGUGGUACAGGAUGGACCCGCGUCUGAUUAGCUAGUUGGUGGGGUAGAGGCCUACCAAGGCGACGAUCAGUAGCCGGCCUGAGAGGGUGACCGGCCACAUUGGGACUGAGACACGGCCCAAACUCCUACGGGAGGCAGCAGUGGGGAAUAUUGCACAAUGGGGGAAACCCUGAUGCCAGCGACGCCGCGUGAGUGAAGAAGUAUUUCGGUAUGUAAAGCUCUAUCAGCAGGGAAGAAAAUGACGGUACCUGACUAAGAAGCCCCGGCUAACUACGUGCCAGCCGCCGC
This 508-nucleotide ribosomal RNA is filed under the name uncultured bacterium. Its description in RNAcentral is "bacterial SSU rRNA". It matches the Rfam family "Bacterial small subunit ribosomal RNA", at positions 8 to 518 of the family's 1533-position model. The record is from RNAcentral.